This 342-nucleotide long non-coding RNA is filed under the name Salmo salar (Atlantic salmon). RNAcentral describes it as "lncRNA (ENSSSAG00000097458.1)". The record is from RNAcentral. Lineage: Eukaryota; Metazoa; Chordata; Actinopteri; Salmoniformes; Salmonidae.
CUGGACACAUUACAUCAUAGUGAAGGACUACGGACUGGGGACAUGACAUUAUAGUGGAGGCCAACAGACUGGAGACCAGCAGACUGGAGACAUGACAACAUAGUGGAGGCCUACAGACUGGAGACAUGACAACAUAGUGGAGGCCUACAGACUGGAGUCAUGACAACAUAGUGGAGGCCUACAGACUGUAGUCAUGACAACAUAGUGGAGGCCUACAGACUGGAGUCAUGACAACAUAGUGGAGGCCUACAGACUGGAGUCAUGACAUCAUAGUGGAGGCCUACAGACUGGAGACAUGACAACAUAGUGGAGGCCUACAGACUGGGGACAUGACAACAUAGU